AGUGAACGCUGGCGGUAGGCCUAACACAUGCAAGUCGAACGGCAGCACAGUAAGAGCUUGCUCUUACAGGUGGCGAGUGGCGGACGGGUGAGGAAUACAUCGGAAUCUACUUUUUCGUGGGGGAUAACGUAGGGAAACUUACGCUAAUACCGCAUACGACCUACGGGUGAAAGCAGGGGAUCCUCGGACCUUGCGCGAUUGAAUGAGCCGAUGUCGGAUUAGCUAGUUGGCGGGGUAAAGGCCCACCAAGGCGACGAUCCGUAGCUGGUCUGAGAGGAUGAUCAGCCACACUGGAACUGAGACACGGUCCAGACUCCUACGGGAGGCAGCAGUGGGGAAUAUUGGACAAUGGGCGCAAGCCUGAUCCAGCCAUACCGCGUGGGUGAAGAAGGCCUUCGGGUUGUAAAGCCCUUUUGUUGGGAAAGAAAAGCAGCAGGUUAAUACCCCGCUGUUCUGACGGUACCCAAAGAAUAAGCACCGGCUAACUUCGUG
Molecule: ribosomal RNA, 492 nt
Filed under: uncultured bacterium
Lineage: Bacteria
Description: partial 16S ribosomal RNA
Rfam family: Bacterial small subunit ribosomal RNA
Source: RNAcentral